This 274-nucleotide ribosomal RNA is filed under the name uncultured bacterium. RNAcentral describes it as "partial 16S ribosomal RNA". It matches the Rfam family "Bacterial small subunit ribosomal RNA", at positions 523 to 796 of the family's 1533-position model. The record is from RNAcentral.
AUACGGAGGGUGCAAGCGUUGUUCGGAAUCACUGGGCGUAAAGGGCGCGCAGGCGGUUUGGUAGGUCAGAUGUGAAAGCCCACGGCUCAACCGUGGAAGUGCAUUUGAAACUGUCAGACUUGAGUACUGGAGGGGAAAGUGGAAUUCCCGGUGUAGAGGUGAAAUUCGUAGAUAUCGGGAGGAAUACCGGUGGCGAAGGCGACUUUCUGGCUAGAUACUGACGCUGAGGCGCGAAAGCGUGGGGAGCAAACAGGAUUAGAUACCCCAGUAGUCC